CCUACGGGGCGCAGCAGUGGGGAAUAUUGGACAAUGGGGGGAACCCUGAUCCAGCCAUGCCGCGUGUGUGAAGAAGGCCCUCGGGUUGUAAAGCACUUUCAGUGAGGAAGAACGCCUGGUGGUUAAUACCCAUCAGGAAAGACAUCACUCACAGAAGAAGCACCGGCUAACUCCGUGCCAGCAGCCGCGGUAAUACGGAGGGUGCGAGCGUUAAUCGGAAUUACUGGGCGUAAAGCGCGCGUAGGUGGCUUGAUAAGCCGGUUGUGAAAGCCCCGGGCUCAACCUGGGAACGGCAUCCGGAACUGUCAAGCUAGAGUGCAGGAGAGGAAGGUAGAAUUCCCGGUGUAGCGGUGAAAUGCGUAGAGAUCGGGAGGAAUACCAGUGGCGAAGGCGGCCUUCUGGACUGACACUGACACUGAGGUGCGAAAGCGUGGGUAGCAAACAGGAUUAGAUACCCGGGUAGUA
This 465-nucleotide ribosomal RNA is filed under the name Vreelandella stevensii. RNAcentral describes it as "partial 16S ribosomal RNA". It matches the Rfam family "Bacterial small subunit ribosomal RNA", at positions 338 to 795 of the family's 1533-position model. Lineage: Bacteria; Pseudomonadati; Pseudomonadota; Gammaproteobacteria; Oceanospirillales; Halomonadaceae. The record is from RNAcentral.